GAUGAACGCUGGCGGCGUGCCUAAUACAUGCAAGUCGAGCGAACGGACGAGAAGCUUGCUUCUCUGAUGUUAGCGGCGGACGGGUGAGUAACACGUGGAUAACCUACCUAUAAGACUGGGAUAACUUCGGGAAACCGGAGCUAAUACCGGAUAAUAUUUUGAACCGCAUGGUUCAAAAGUGAAAGACGGUCUUGCUGUCACUUAUAGAUGGAUCCGCGCUGCAUUAGCUAGUUGGUAAGGUAAAGGCUUACCAAGGCAACGAUGCAUAGCCGACCUGAGAGGGUGAUCGGCCACACUGGAACUGAGACACGGUCCAGACUCCUACGGGAGGCAGCAGUAGGGAAUCUUCCGCAAUGGGCGAAAGCCUGACGGAGCAACGCCACGUGAGUGAUGAAGGUCUUCGGAUCGUAAAACUCUGUUAUUAGGGAAGAACAUAUGUGUAAGUAACUGUGCACAUCUUGACGGUACCUAAUCAGAAAGCCACGGCUAACUACGUG
RNAcentral lists this ribosomal RNA (497 nucleotides) under uncultured bacterium. RNAcentral's name for it is "partial 16S ribosomal RNA". It matches the Rfam family "Bacterial small subunit ribosomal RNA", at positions 28 to 507 of the family's 1533-position model. The record is from RNAcentral.